Molecule: non-coding RNA, 86 nt
Organism: Schizophyllum commune H4-8
Lineage: Eukaryota; Fungi; Basidiomycota; Agaricomycetes; Agaricales; Schizophyllaceae
Source: the annotation of a RefSeq genome assembly
UCCUCGGUAGUAUAUCGGCUAGUACACCCGCCUGUCAUGUCGGCCACACUACGCGGGAGAGCGGGGUUCGACUCCCCGCCGAGGAG